GAUGAACGCUGGCGGCGUGCCUAACACAUGCAAGUCGAGCGAUCUUCUUCGGAAGAGAGCGGCGGACGGGUGAGUAACGCGUGGGUAACCUGCCCUGUACACACGGAUAACAUACCGAAAGGUAUGCUAAUACGGGAUGAUGUAUGAAAGUCGCAUGGCUUUUAUAUCAAAGCUCCGGCGGUACAGGAUGGACCCGCGUCUGAUUAGCUAGUUGGUAAGGUAACGGCUUACCAAGGCGACGAUCAGUAGCCGACCUGAGAGGGUGAUCGGCCACACUGGAACUGAGACACGGUCCAGACUCCUACGGGAGGCAGCAGUGGGGAAUAUUGCACAAUGGGCGAAAGCCUGAUGCAGCAACGCCGCGUGAGCGAUGAAGGCCUUCGGGUCGUAAAGCUCUGUCCUCAAGGAAGAUAAUGACGGUACUUGAGGAGGAAGCCCCGGCUAACUACGUGCCAGCAGCCGCGGUAAUACGUAGGGGGCUAGCGUUAUCCGGAAUUACUGGGCGUAAAGGGUGCGUAGGCGGUCUUUCAAGCCAGAAGUGAAAGGCUACGGCUCAACCGUAGUAAGCUUUUGGAACUGUAGGACUUGAGUGCAGGAGAGGAGAGUAGAAUUCCUAGUGUAGCGGUGAAAUGCGUAGAUAUUAGGAGGAAUACCAGUAGCGAAGGCGGCUCUCUGGACUGUAACUGACGCUGAGCACGAAAGCGUGGGGAGCAAACAGG
Molecule: ribosomal RNA, 719 nt
Filed under: uncultured bacterium
Lineage: Bacteria
Description: bacterial SSU rRNA
Rfam family: Bacterial small subunit ribosomal RNA
Source: RNAcentral